CAAGUCGAACGCGAAAGUCCCCUUCGGGGGGCAAGUAGAGUGGCGCACGGGUGAGUAACACGUAGGUAAUCUACCUUUGGAUUGGGAAUAACCACCGGAAACGGUGGCUAAUACCGAAUAAUGCAGCGGCACCUAAUGGUGACAGUUGUUAAAGCGGGGGAUCGCAAGACCUCGCGUCUGAAGAGGAGCCUGCGGCGGAUUAGCUAGUUGGUAAGGUAACGGCUUACCAAGGCGAUGAUCCGUAGCCGGCCUGAGAGGGCGGUCGGCCACACUGACACUGACAUACGGGUCAGACUCCUACGGGAGGCAGCAGUCGGGAAUUUUGGGCAAUGGGCGAAAGCCUGACCCAGCAACGCCGCGUGAAGGAUGAAAUCCUUCGGGAUGUAAACUUCGCAAGAACGGGAAGAAUAAGUAAGGGUUAAUAUCUCUUACGAUGACGGUACUGUUUGUAAGCUCCGGCUAACUCCGUGCCAGCAGCCGCGGUAAUACGGGGGGAGCAAGCGUUGUUCGGAUUUACUGGGCGUAAAGGGCGCGUAGGCGGCCACCGCAAGUCGACUGUGAAAUCUCCGGGCUUAACCCGGAAAGGUCAGCCGAUACUGCGGGGCUAGAGUGCAGAAGGGGCAACUGGAAUUCUCGGUGUAGCGGUGAAAUGCGUAGAUAUCGAGAGGAACACCUGCGGCGAAGGCGGGUUGCUGGGCUGACACUGACGCUGAAGUGCGAAAGCUAGGGGAGCGAACGGGAUUAGAUACCCCGGUAGUCCUAGCCUUAAACGAUGAAUGCUUGGUGUCUGGGGUUUUAUAGUCCCCGGGUGCCGUCGCUAACGCUUUAAGCAUUCCGCCUGGGGA
RNAcentral lists this ribosomal RNA (845 nucleotides) under uncultured Actinomycetes bacterium. RNAcentral's name for it is "bacterial SSU rRNA". It matches the Rfam family "Bacterial small subunit ribosomal RNA", at positions 58 to 879 of the family's 1533-position model. The record is from RNAcentral. Lineage: Bacteria; Bacillati; Actinomycetota; Actinomycetes.